GACGAAUGGCGUGACAGCCAAGUCAAAUUACCGAGGUAUUUGCAGCGCAAGUAUGACAGUGAACUGAUUUGGGGCUCUAACAAUAGGAUUAAAGGUGGUUCUAAACACGCACUGAUCUCUUACUUGACAGAUAAUGAAAAGAAGGAUCUAUUUUUCGAUAUUACUUUUUUAAUCACUUUCAGAAGCAUCUUUACUACAACGGAGUUUUUAAGCUACUUGAUCUCGCAAUAUAAUUUGGAUCCACCAGAGGAUUUGUGCUUUGAAGAAUACAAUGAAUGGGUGACGAAAAAGCUUAUACCGGUUAAAUGUAGGGUGGUUGAGAUUAUGACAACCUUUUUCAAGCAAUAUUGGUUCCUGGGCUAUGAUGAGCCCGAUCUUGCGACCCUAAAUCUGGAUUAUUUUGCGCAAGUAGCAAUCAAGGAAAAUAUAACAGGAUCUGUGGAAUUACUAAAGGAGGUCAAUCAGAAGUUUAAACAUGGUAAUAUACAAGAAGCGACUGCACCAAUGAAAACGUUAGAUCAACAGAUCUGCCAGGACCAUUACUCGGGCACUUUAUACUCUACCACGGAAUCCAUUUUGGCCGUCGAUCCAGUUUUAUUUGCCACUCAAUUAACGAUACUAGAGCAUGAAAUUUAUUGUGAGAUAACCAUUUUUGAUUGUUUACAAAAAAUUGGAAGAACAAGUAUACAAAAUCGUAUGGGGCUUCACCGGGUUUGAACGAGUUUAUCAGUUUUGCCAAUAAACUGACAAAUUUCAUAUCCUACUCUGUUGUAAAGGAGGCUGAUAAAAGUAAGCGCGCCAAGCUACUCUCUCAUUUUAUUUUUAUCGCAGAAUAUUGUAGGAAAUUCAAUAACUUUUCUUCCAUGACUGCAAUCAUUUCAGCAUUAUAUUCUUCACCAAUUUAUCGUUUAGAGAAAACCUGGCAGGCAGUUAUUCCUCAAACGAGAGAUCUAUUGCAGUCACUGAACAAGUUGAUGGAUCCCAAGAAAAAUUUCAUAAAUUACAGAAACGAGCUGAAGUCUUUACUUAGCGCUCCCUGCGUACCGUUUUUCGGCGUUUAUUUAUCUGAUCUAACCUUUACUGAUUCCGGAAAUCCGGAUUAUCUUGUCUUGGAACAUGGUUUAAAGGGUGUCCAUGAUGAGAAGAAAUAUAUAAACUUCAACAAAAGGAGCAGACUUGUUGAUAUCUUACAAGAGAUCAUAUAUUUCAAGAAAACACAUUAUGAUUUCACUAAAGAUCGGACGGUAAUUGAAUGUAUAUCAAAUUCAUUGGAAAACAUCCCCCAUAUUGAGAAACAAUACCAAUUAUCAUUAAUUAUUGAACCAAAACCAAGAAAGAAAGUCGUUCCGAAUUCCAAUUCGAAUAAUAAAUCACAAGAAAAAUCCAGGGAUGACCAAACCGAUGAAGGAAAAACAUCCACUAAGAAAGACAGAUUUCCAAAAUUUCAAUUACAUAAGACAAAGAAAAAAGCUCCCAAGGUUUCUAAGUAACGGCGCCGUAUGUUCGAUUUCCUUCUCUCGGUGGAUUAAUUAUUUUGUUUGUUUUCUCCUGUUAUAUUAUUUAUUGAUCACUAUAGUAAACUAUGUCCGUCAUCAAGCCCGACGGCUGCUAUCCCACAAUGUUGAUCGUAUUGUUUGCCUAGUUUAUUAUAUAUUUGCUUAUUUAUAGCAUACCAUAAUAUUUAAAUGCCCUCAAAUUUUUGGCC
This 1705-nucleotide small RNA is filed under the name Saccharomyces cerevisiae (brewer's yeast). RNAcentral's name for it is "CAT novel prediction: IsoSeq". Lineage: Eukaryota; Fungi; Ascomycota; Saccharomycetes; Saccharomycetales; Saccharomycetaceae. The record is from RNAcentral.